Molecule: non-coding RNA, 189 nt
Organism: Oncorhynchus mykiss (rainbow trout)
Lineage: Eukaryota; Metazoa; Chordata; Actinopteri; Salmoniformes; Salmonidae
Source: RefSeq, a predicted model, not a curated record
AUGUUAGGUCAUGUGUUGUUGAUUUAUCUAAAACCCCAUUACCAGAUGUUAGGUCAUGUGUUGUUGAUUUAUCUAAAACCCCAUUACCAGAUGUUUGGUCAUGUGUUGUUGAUUUAUCUAAAACCCCAUUACCAGAUGUUAGGUCAUGUGUUGUUGAUUUAUCUAAAACCCCAUUACCAUGUGUUGUUG